RNAcentral lists this ribosomal RNA (468 nucleotides) under uncultured bacterium. Its description in RNAcentral is "partial 16S ribosomal RNA". It matches the Rfam family "Bacterial small subunit ribosomal RNA", at positions 28 to 507 of the family's 1533-position model. The record is from RNAcentral.
GACGAACGCUGGCGGCGUGCUUAACACAUGCAAGUCGAACGGAAAGGCCCUGCUUUUGUGGGGUGCUCGAGUGGCGAACGGGUGAGUAACACGUGAGUAACCUGCCCUUGACUUUGGGAUAACUUCAGGAAACUGGGGCUAAUACCGGAUAGGAGCUCCUGCUGCAUGGUGGGGGUUGGAAAGUUUCGGCGGUUGGGGAUGGACUCGCGGCUUAUCAGCUUGUUGGUGGGGUAGUGGCUUACCAAGGCUUUGAAGGGUAGCCGGCCUGAGAGGGUGACCGGCCACAUUGGGACUGAGGUACGGCCCAGACUCCUACGUGCGGCAGCAGUCGGGAAUCUUACACAGUGGGCGGAAGCCUGAUGCGGAAGCGCCGCGUGCGGAAUGCCGGCCUUCGGGUUGUGAACCGCUUUCGCCUGUGACGAAGCGUGAGUGACGGUAAUGGGUAAAGAAGCACCGGCUAACUACGUG